RNAcentral lists this ribosomal RNA (330 nucleotides) under uncultured bacterium. Its description in RNAcentral is "bacterial SSU rRNA". It matches the Rfam family "Bacterial small subunit ribosomal RNA", at positions 568 to 898 of the family's 1533-position model. The record is from RNAcentral.
UCCGUAGGCGGUGUGGUAAGUCGAUAGUGAAAUCUCUGGGCUUAACCCAGAGGCUGCUAACGAAACUGCCAUGCUAGAGUGUGAGAGAGGCGAGUGGAAUUACGGGUGUAGCGGUGAAAUGCGUAGAUAUCCGUAGGAACAUCCGAGGCGAAAGCGGCUCGCUGGAUCACAACUGACGCUGAGGGACGAAAGCUAGGGGAGCAAACAGGAUUAGAUACCCUGGUAGUCCUAGCCCUAAACCAUCAGGACUUGGGGUUUGCCCUGUACGGGGCAAGUCCCGUAGCUAACGCGUUAAGUCCUGCGCCUGGGGAGUACGGUCGCAAGGCUGAA